AUUUGAAAGAGACAUAUUGGACAGAAAUGACAUACGUGAAAGCUAAGAUACAAUAUAUUUAAUUUUCUAAGAAUUCAGUUCAAGGUAGUCUGCCUGGUUUCUCAAGUUCUGCAUGUUUCUUCAGUAGACUAAAUAAUGAUAAGGAAGCUGAGAUGUAGAGCUGAAGUGUCUUGCCCAAGAUCAUUUGUCUAUUUUGCUAAUUUCUUUAAUAUCAGAAGACAGCUGGAUUCUCAUUUCUGCUUCUGCAUUCAGUCUAUUGUGAUAUAGCAUAUCAUGUAACUUCUGAAAAACUUCACUGUACACAGAUGCUGACCUCACAGACUCCCUGAAAGGAUCUCCAUGACCUCUAUGGUUCCUUAGACUGCACUUUGAGAACUAUUGACGUACAGGGAAAAAUGCUCUUGGUGUUCCAGUUAAGCACAGAAUAAAAUCUGGACUGUGUCAGUUUGUAAAGAUCUUAUGUCUACUUGGUCAUCAGCCAAGAAGGGAUUCCGAAGAUAGAAGAGGAGGCAUCAACACCGUGAACAUCAUGGCUGAGUUAUUUUGUGAGAGGGAUAAGCCUAAAGUAAAAACCUUGGAUUUGCCUCUGUCCUUGAACAUGCUAUCUGGAAAGAGUUUUCUUAAAAGUAUUGUUGUGAACACAUCCAUUUUCCCAGUAUAGUUGAAUGCAGGGUUUAAUAAAUGGAAUGAAUC
Molecule: long non-coding RNA, 693 nt
Filed under: Homo sapiens (human)
Lineage: Eukaryota; Metazoa; Chordata; Mammalia; Primates; Hominidae
Description: HSALNT0293251
Source: RNAcentral